This 508-nucleotide small RNA is filed under the name Pan troglodytes (chimpanzee). RNAcentral's name for it is "processed transcript". Lineage: Eukaryota; Metazoa; Chordata; Mammalia; Primates; Hominidae. The record is from RNAcentral.
GACUAUCUGGAGACCCAGAACCCAGCUCUGCCCUGUGUAGAGUUUGAUGAGAAGGUGACUGGAGGCCCUGGGACCAAAGGCAAGGGAAGAAGGAAUGAGAAGUACGAUAUGGUGACAGGUCAUUCAGGGAAAGAAGACUGCAGCAUUUGCUCAUGGAGAGGAGCUGAAAUGGAGGUGAAAAAUCCACUAUUUCUGCUCAUCAUCCCUCCCCUGACAUACAUGUCACAUGCGUAGUUCUCAGCUGAUUAGCAGAGCCUUGGAUGGAGGAAGACCAUACUGACACCCACCUGAGGAAAUGGCAGGACCAAGAGGAGAGUGGGCUGAGGUUUUCCUCAUCCUAUAGGAGAGGAAGAAUAUCCUGAUGGAGGAAAGACUUACAGUGGGGACUGUGAAGGGGAUGGAGUGGGAUGAGGAAGGGAAUUAGAGAAUGGGGAACAUUCUGCCCAAGGCGUUGCCUUCUCUUAUGUACAGAUAAUGGUAGCUCUCCUUUAUUUGAGGAGCUACUCUG